Molecule: long non-coding RNA, 1100 nt
Filed under: Nicotiana benthamiana
Lineage: Eukaryota; Viridiplantae; Streptophyta; Magnoliopsida; Solanales; Solanaceae
Description: long non-coding RNA (NBEN_LNC031989)
Source: RNAcentral
AAUAAUAAUGAUAAACUAGCUAGCUAGCCUUUUGGAUGUAUUUUUUUCUUGUCUUCACUGAAAGGAAAAGCGAAAGUUUUCCCUAACUUAUUACAUGCCAUGGCUUUCACUGACUUGUGCUCUUUGGGUAACACACUCCCAUUCUUAGGUUUAAAAGGAAAUACCCCAUUGCUUUUUUCACCUCCAUCAUCUCCCAUAUUGCCUUCUUUUCCCUUUGCUUUGUUUUCUUCUCUCUCUCUCUUAAAAAGUAAGACCCAGUACAAUACCACUCAGUGAUGUCUGGGAGGGUAGUGUGUACGCGCCUUACCCCUACCCUAGGUAGAGAGGCUAUUUCCAAAUAGACCCCCGGCAUAAAUCCCCAGAAUUUGCUCUUAGGGAGACUCGAACUCACAACCUCUCGGUUGUAAGUAAGGGUUGGUUACCAUCAGACCAAGCCCCUCUUGUCUCUCUCUCUUGUGAGCUUUAUAUAUAGUUUUUAGUGUUUCUGCAUGUUGUUUACACUUCAAUCUAUCCCAAAUCAUUAUAUAGAGCAAGGGAGCAUAAGCUGCAGCUUCUUCUGCAAUUUUCCAUCUUUUAAGUUCUUUUUUUUUUUUGGUUAAAUAUUUUGGUUGGAACUUAGGUAACAUUGAAAGGGGACAUUUAUUGACUAUAUAGUCUUCUCGAAUAAUGUAUAUAUUUCAUGGUUUGAUUCCAGUCUCAAAGACGACUAAAUGUUGAAUGGCAUCUUCUACUUCCCUUUUUGACCCUCCCCGAUGGAAAUGGAUUUCGGGAAUUUCGAUUAUAUUUGGACACAAUAAUUUAUUCCGUUAGUGUCUCCUCUAAGGGUAUUUCGGAUUGCGUUGUAAUUCAAAAUAGCACUAGAAUUUUCUUUUAUCUUUUGCAAUAAAUAAAUAUUCUGUUUUUUUUCAUUUUAGAAAUUUCAAAAAUAACUAAUUCUUCUUCCUCCUAUUCAUUGGCUAUUUUCAAAUUUUAAUUGAACACAUACCGAAGGUACCAUCCUUUACGAACUGGUGUUGUUUCAUUACCUUCGUUACGAGAGUUGCUGAUUGAAACAUCAUGUUGGGAUAAUUCUUCAUGACCCUCUAUGUUGUGUGUAUGUU